UGGCUGUGAUGGUGACUGGUGAUAGUGUUACUAGCUACGGGUAAGGUUGUUGUUACUGUGAUGAUGACUGGUGAUAGUGUUACUAGCAACGGGUAAAGUUGUUGUGGCUGUGAUGAUGACUGGUGAUAGUGUUACUAGCUACGGGUAAAGUUGUUGUUACUGUGAUGGUGACUGGUGAUAGUGUUACUAGCUACGGGUAAGGUUGUUGUUACUGUGAUGAUGACUGGUGAUAGUGUUACUAGCUACGGGUAAGGUUGUUGUUACUGUGAUGAUGACUGGUGAUAGUGUUACUAGCUACGGGUAAGGUUGUUGUUACUGUGAUGAUGACUGGUGAUAGUGUUACUAGCUACGGGUAAAGUUGUUGUUACUGUGAUGGUGACUGGUGAUAGUGUUACUAGCUACGGGUAAAGUUGUUGUGGCUGUGAUGAUGACUAGUGAUAGUGUUACUAGCUACGGGUAAGGUUGUUGUUACUGUGAUGAUGACUGGUGAUAGUGUUACUAGCUACGGGUAAGGUUGUUGUUACUGUGAUGAUGACUGGUGAUAGUGUUACUAGCUACGGGUAAAGUUGUUGUUACUGUGAUGAUGACUGGUGAUAGUGUUACUAGCUACGGGUAAGGUUGUUGUGGCUGUGAUGAUGACAAAAUUCAUAUAUGAUUAUAAAUUAGUUGCAGUUCAUAUUAAGAGUGAUUUCAUAUGUGUGUUUCUUUUUCCUCCGCGAUAAAAAGUUUGUAACAUGCUAACAGUUUUUCAAGAUACACUUUAUGACGACAACCUAACGUAAGAUAUUCUCAUCUUCUUAAACGCAAGAAUUAAUGAUUAACUUCGUCAACACUGUCAACCAUUUCACUUUGAAGUCAAAAAAGGCGGCCAUUUUAUUUUAAUUUUCCUGACCUUAAAUCUCAGUUACUUGGUCAACAUCUUCUGGGGAUCAACAUCUAAAUUGUCUGGAAGAAUUUGUUUACAAAAUUUUCCUCAAAACUGUUUAUAGACUAAAGCUUAUAAGUUUUGCAGCCGCAUGAUUUUGUCUUUUGUUUAACAGACAAAUAGAAAAAAAAUUACAUAUACUGUUUGUAUUCCUUUCUUUAUCUGUAUCUUUAUGUAAUGUAACUUAACCUAUACGAGUAUGAUAAGUUUUAUGUUAAAAAAAUUGAUAUGAUGUGAAGAUUAUAUUGUGAAAGUGA
Molecule: long non-coding RNA, 1182 nt
Organism: Homarus americanus (American lobster)
Lineage: Eukaryota; Metazoa; Arthropoda; Malacostraca; Decapoda; Nephropidae
Exons: 2
Source: RefSeq, a predicted model, not a curated record